UGGGGUAUCGCCAAGCGGUAAGGCACCGGUUCUGAUACCGGCAUUCCCUGGUUCGAAUCCAGGUACCCCAGCCA
RNAcentral lists this transfer RNA (74 nucleotides) under Salmonella enterica subsp. enterica serovar Kentucky str. 20793. RNAcentral describes it as "tRNA-OTHER". It matches the Rfam family "tRNA". Rfam says of the family: Transfer RNA (tRNA) molecules are approximately 80 nucleotides in length. Lineage: Bacteria; Pseudomonadati; Pseudomonadota; Gammaproteobacteria; Enterobacterales; Enterobacteriaceae. The record is from RNAcentral.